This 253-nucleotide ribosomal RNA is filed under the name uncultured bacterium. Its description in RNAcentral is "partial 16S ribosomal RNA". It matches the Rfam family "Bacterial small subunit ribosomal RNA", at positions 524 to 776 of the family's 1533-position model. The record is from RNAcentral.
GACGAACCGUGCGAACGUUGUUCGGAAUCACUGGGCUUAAAGGGCGCGUAGGCGGGCCACCAAGUCCGGGGUGAAAUCCUCCAGCUUAACUGGAGAACUGCCUCGGAUACUGGAGGUCUUGAGGAAGAUAGGGGCAAGCGGAACCGUGGGUGGAGCGGUGAAAUGCGUUGAUAUCCAUGGGAACUCCGGUGGCGAAGGCGGCUUGCUGGAUCUUUUCUGACGCUGAGGCGCGAAAGCCAGGGGAGCAAACGGG